AUUGAACGCUGGCGGCAGGCCUAACACACGCAAGUCGAGCGGAUGAAGGGAGCUUGCUCCUGGAUUCAGCGGCGGACGGGUGAGUAAUGCCUAGGAAUCUGCCUGGUAGUGGGGGAUAACGUCCGGAAACGGGCGCUAAUACCGCAUACGUCCUGAGGGAGAAAGUGGGGGAUCUUCGGACCUCACGCUAUCAGAUGAGCCUAGGUCGGAUUAGCUAGUUGGUGGGGUAAAGGCCUACCAAGGCGACGAUCCGUAACUGGUCUGAGAGGAUGAUCAGUCACACUGGAACUGAGACACGGUCCAGACUCCUACGGGAGGCAGCAGUGGGGAAUAUUGGACAAUGGGCGAAAGCCUGAUCCAGCCAUGCCGCGUGUGUGAAGAAGGUCUUCGGAUUGUAAAGCACUUUAAGUUGGGAGGAAGGGCAGUAAGUUAAUACCUUGCUGUUUUGACGUUACCAACAGAAUAAGCACCGGCUAACUUCGU
RNAcentral lists this ribosomal RNA (483 nucleotides) under uncultured bacterium. RNAcentral describes it as "partial 16S ribosomal RNA". It matches the Rfam family "Bacterial small subunit ribosomal RNA", at positions 30 to 506 of the family's 1533-position model. The record is from RNAcentral.